UACCAGCACCCCGAGUGGUCGGGACGUUUAUUGGGCCUAAAGCAUCCGUAGCCGGUUCUGCAAGUCUUCCGUUAAAUCCACCUGCUUAACAGAUGGGCCGCGGAAGAUACUAUAGAGCUAGGAGGCGGGAGAGGCAAGCGGUACUCGAUGGGUAGGGGUAAAAUCCGUUGAUCCAUUGAAGACCACCGGUGGCGAAGGCGGCUUGCCAGAACGCGCUCGACGGUGAGGGAUGAAAGCUGGGGGAGCAAACCGG
Molecule: ribosomal RNA, 253 nt
Filed under: uncultured bacterium
Lineage: Bacteria
Description: partial 16S ribosomal RNA
Rfam family: Archaeal small subunit ribosomal RNA
Source: RNAcentral